CGGGGCGUAGCUCAGCUUGGUUAGAGUGCGGCGUUCGGGACGCCGAGGUCGGCCGUUCGAAUCGGCUCGCCCCGA
RNAcentral lists this transfer RNA (75 nucleotides) under Candidatus Scalindua sp. RNAcentral's name for it is "tRNA-Pro". It matches the Rfam family "tRNA". Rfam says of the family: Transfer RNA (tRNA) molecules are approximately 80 nucleotides in length. Their secondary structure includes four short double-helical elements and three loops (D, anti-codon, and T loops). RNAcentral also lists the same sequence under 1 other name. The record is from RNAcentral. Lineage: Bacteria; Pseudomonadati; Planctomycetota; Candidatus Brocadiia; Candidatus Brocadiales; Candidatus Scalinduaceae.